GCGAAAGUGGCGAAAUUGGCAGACGCACCAGACUUAGGAUCUGGCGGAGCAAUCCGUGGGGGUUCAAGUCCCCCCUUUCGCA
Molecule: transfer RNA, 82 nt
Organism: Terriglobus saanensis SP1PR4
Lineage: Bacteria; Pseudomonadati; Acidobacteriota; Terriglobia; Terriglobales; Acidobacteriaceae
Rfam family: tRNA
About the family: Transfer RNA (tRNA) molecules are approximately 80 nucleotides in length. Their secondary structure includes four short double-helical elements and three loops (D, anti-codon, and T loops).
Source: Rfam